This 392-nucleotide ribosomal RNA is filed under the name uncultured bacterium. RNAcentral describes it as "bacterial SSU rRNA". It matches the Rfam family "Bacterial small subunit ribosomal RNA", at positions 100 to 509 of the family's 1533-position model. The record is from RNAcentral.
GACGGGUGAGUAACGCGUCGGGUAACCUUCCUGUACACACGGAUAACAUACCGAAAGGUAUGCUAAUACGAGAUAAUAUGCUUUUUAUCGCAUGGUAGAAGUAUCAAAGCUUUUGCGGUACAGGAUGGACCCGCGUCUGAUUAGCUAGUUGGUAAGGUAACGGCUUACCAAGGCGACGAUCAGUAGCCGACCUGAGAGGGUGAUCGGCCACAUUGGAACUGAGACACGGUCCAAACUCCUACGGGAGGCAGCAGUGGGGGAAUAUUGCACAAUGGGCGAAAGCCUGAUGCAGCAACGCCGCGUGAGCGAUGAAGGCCUUCGGGUCGUAAAGCUCUGUCCUCAAGGAAGAUAAUGACGGUACUUGAGGAGGAAGCCCCGGCUAACUACGUGCC